GAUGAACGCUGGCGGCGUGCCUAAUACAUGCAAGUCGAGCGAACAGACGAGGAUCUUGCUCCUCUGACGUUAGCGGCGGACGGGUGAGUAACACGUGGAUAACCUACCUAUAAGACUGGGAUAACUUCGGGAAACCGGAGCUAAGACCGGAUAAUAUAUUGAACCGCAUGGUUCAAUAGUGAAAGACGGUUUUGCUGUCACUUAUAGAUGGAUCCGCGCCGCAUUAGCUAGUUGGUAAGGUAACGGCUUACCAAGGCAACGAUGCGUAGCCGACCUGAGAGGGUGAGCGGCCACACUGGAACUGAGACACGGUCCAGACUCCUACGGGAGGCAGCAGUAGGGAAUCUUCCGCAAUGGGCGAAAGCCUGACGGAGCAACGCCGCGUGAGUGAUGAAGGUCUUCGGAUCGUAAAACUCUGUUAUUAGGGAAGAACAAAUGUGUAAGUAACUAUGCACGUCUUGACGGUACCUAAUCAGAAAGCCACGGCUAACUACGUG
This 497-nucleotide ribosomal RNA is filed under the name uncultured bacterium. RNAcentral describes it as "partial 16S ribosomal RNA". It matches the Rfam family "Bacterial small subunit ribosomal RNA", at positions 28 to 507 of the family's 1533-position model. The record is from RNAcentral.